Sinocyclocheilus rhinocerous is the source of this 259-nucleotide long non-coding RNA. RefSeq lists it as uncharacterized. Lineage: Eukaryota; Metazoa; Chordata; Actinopteri; Cypriniformes; Cyprinidae. The transcript has 3 exons. The record is from RefSeq and is a predicted model, not a curated record.
UCUUUGUUGUUACAGUGUGGUACUGGGAUUUCUACAUGCUGCCCUUGUUCAUGGUCCUUCUCAUCGUAUGGAACUAUCUCCAGAUCGCCUCUGAGAGAGUCACCAGAGAUCUAGACACCAUGGAGUUAUAUGAAGAGGAAGAUGAAGAUGAAAAGGAAUCUGAAAGAAAAGGUCUGAUGGAGAAAAUUCACAUGGUUCAAGAGAUUGUCAUUACGGUCCAGAACCUUCUGGAGGAGAUUGCAUGCUUUGGAGAAAGAAU